AAGUUCUUCCUCAGCCCUCCGCAGGCCAAGUGGUCUCAGCUGUCCGAGGUCCUCAGCUGGCAGUUCUCCUCCGUCACCAAGCGAGGCCUGAACCAGGAGCAGCUCAACAUGCUGGCUGACAAACUGCUCGGAGCCAAAGCCAAGAGGAACCCAGAGGGACAAAUCCCCUGGACCAAGUUGUGCAAGAGUGCGAACGAGAAAGCGUAUUCCUUCUGGUUGUGGAUCGAAGGAAUCCUGGAUGUGAUUAAAAGACACCUGCUUUCCCUUUGGAAUGACGGGUGAGUG
Labrus bergylta (ballan wrasse) is the source of this 285-nucleotide non-coding RNA. Lineage: Eukaryota; Metazoa; Chordata; Actinopteri; Labriformes; Labridae. The record is from RefSeq and is a predicted model, not a curated record.